GAGCUCGUGAUUGGGGAAUUUGAGCAUUAAGUCCUUAAGCCUCUCCCAAGCUUGAGGGGUACUUUCUCCUUCACGCGGCCAAAAAUUAGUUAUAUAAUUCCGAUUAC
This is a non-coding RNA of Triticum aestivum (bread wheat), 107 nucleotides long. The record is from Rfam. NCBI's taxonomy places the organism in Eukaryota, Viridiplantae, Streptophyta, Magnoliopsida, Poales, Poaceae.